GUCAACCGCUCCUAGCAGUUCUUCCUACGAACACCGCUGUCAACUGACCGGUCCGCGCUGUGUGAAAGUUCCAACAGCAGCAAGAGUUAAGAGUAUUUCAAAAGAGGAAACGCCGGGCCACUCCGUCGGGCCGCUACAACGCUGCACCGUCAAAGAAGGACAUCUGGGGUUAUUGAAGACGAGACAGUUGGCAGGACUGGGAGUCCUAACCGCCGAGGACUAAAGGUUCCUGGAUGAGAAGAAAAGAACCGGGCGUGUUCGCACUAAAGAACCAUGUUCAAGGUCUCCACCAAACGUGAGGAGGGCGCAUCUGAAGACAUGAGGGGACUGAACAGGAGCACCAG
Molecule: long non-coding RNA, 344 nt
Organism: Branchiostoma belcheri (Belcher's lancelet)
Lineage: Eukaryota; Metazoa; Chordata; Leptocardii; Amphioxiformes; Branchiostomatidae
Exons: 2
Source: RefSeq, a predicted model, not a curated record